UACGGAGGGGGCUAGCGUUGUUCGGAAUUACUGGGCGUAAAGCGCACGUAGGCGGACUGUUAAGUCGGGGGUGAAAUCCUGGGGCUCAACCUCAGAAUUGCCUCCGAUACUGGCAGUCUCGAGUGCGGGAGAGGUGAGUGGAAUUCCCAGUGUAGAGGUGAAAUUCGUAGAUAUUGGGAAGAACACCAGUGGCGAAGGCGGCUCACUGGCUCAUUUCUGACGCUCAGGCGCGACAGCGUGGGGAUCAAACAGG
RNAcentral lists this ribosomal RNA (253 nucleotides) under uncultured bacterium. RNAcentral's name for it is "partial 16S ribosomal RNA". It matches the Rfam family "Bacterial small subunit ribosomal RNA", at positions 524 to 776 of the family's 1533-position model. The record is from RNAcentral.